AGGUGUUGGGUUAAGUCCCGCAACGAGCGCAACCCUUGUCCUUAGUUGCCCCCGGGUAAUGCUGUGGCACUCUAAGGAAACUGCCCGUGUUAAGCGGGAGGAAGGUGGGGACGACGUCAAGUCAUCAUGGCCUUUAUAUCCAGGGCUACACACGUGCUACAAUGGAUGGCACAGAGAGUUGCGAGUGCGCGAGCAGGAGCUAAUCUCAAAAAACCAUCCUCAGUUCGGAUCGAAGUCUGCAACUCGACUUCGUGAAGCUGGAAUCGCUAGUAAUCGCGGAUCAGCAUGCCGCGGUGAAUACGUUCCCGGGCCU
RNAcentral lists this ribosomal RNA (313 nucleotides) under uncultured bacterium. Its description in RNAcentral is "bacterial SSU rRNA". It matches the Rfam family "Bacterial small subunit ribosomal RNA", at positions 1070 to 1381 of the family's 1533-position model. The record is from RNAcentral.